RNAcentral lists this transfer RNA (89 nucleotides) under Modestobacter italicus. RNAcentral describes it as "tRNA-Gly (CCC) (tRNA-Gly-CCC-2-1)". The record is from RNAcentral. Lineage: Bacteria; Bacillati; Actinomycetota; Actinomycetes; Geodermatophilales; Geodermatophilaceae.
GCGGUGAACAGGGCUCCGAACAGCGAUUUCGUCCCCAGUCUAAUCAGCUUCCCAAGCUGACAGUGCGAGUUCGAUUCUCGUCACCCGCU